This 1056-nucleotide ribosomal RNA is filed under the name Halomonas sp. A9(2009). Its description in RNAcentral is "bacterial SSU rRNA". It matches the Rfam family "Bacterial small subunit ribosomal RNA", at positions 34 to 1090 of the family's 1533-position model. The record is from RNAcentral. Lineage: Bacteria; Pseudomonadati; Pseudomonadota; Gammaproteobacteria; Oceanospirillales; Halomonadaceae.
CGGGGGGGGCGGCCUACCAUGCAAGUCGAGCGGUAACAGGGGUAGCUUGCUACCCGCUGACGAGCGGCGGACGGGUGAGUAAUGCAUAGGAAUUUACCCGAUAGUGGGGGAUAACCUGGGGAAACCCAGGCUAAUACCGCAUACGUCCUACGGGAGAAAGGGGGCUUCGGCUCCCGCUAUCGGAUGAGCCUAUGCCGGAUUAGCUGGUUGGUGAGGUAAUGGCUCACCAAGGCGACGAUCCGUAGCUGGUCUGAGAGGAUGAUCAGCCACAUCGGGACUGAGACACGGCCCGAACUCCUACGGGAGGCAGCAGUGGGGAAUAUUGGACAAUGGGCGCAAGCCUGAUCCAGCCAUGCCGCGUGUGUGAAGAAGGCCCUCGGGUUGUAAAGCACUUUCAGCGAGGAAGAACGCCUGGCGGUUAAUACCCGCCAGGAAAGACAUCACUCGCAGAAGAAGCACCGGCUAACUCCGUGCCAGCAGCCGCGGUAAUACGGAGGGUGCAAGCGUUAAUCGGAAUUACUGGGCGUAAAGCGCGCGUAGGUGGCUUGAUAAGCCGGUUGUGAAAGCCCCGGGCUCAACCUGGGAACGGCAUCCGGAACUGUCAGGCUAGAGUGCAGGAGAGGAAGGUAGAAUUCCCGGUGUAGCGGUGAAAUGCGUAGAGAUCGGGAGGAAUACCAGUGGCGAAGGCGGCCUUCUGGACUGACACUGACACUGAGGUGCGAAAGCGUGGGUAGCAAACAGGAUUAGAUACCCUGGUAGUCCACGCCGUAAACGAUGUCGACCAGCCGUUGGGUGCCUAGCGCACUUUGUGGCGAAGUUAACGCGAUAAGUCGACCGCCUGGGGAGUACGGCCGCAAGGUUAAAACUCAAAUGAAUUGACGGGGGCCCGCACAAGCGGUGGAGCAUGUGGUUUAAUUCGAUGCAACGCGAAGAACCUUACCUACUCUUGACAUCCUGCGAACUGGUGAGAGAUCACUGGGUGCCUUCGGGAACGCAGAGACAGGUGCUGCAUGGCUGUCGUCAGCUCGUGUUGUGAAAUGUUGGGUUAAGUCCCGU